CGGGAUUGGGUAGAUUUGCAAUUGGGACGCGGGCUCAUUUUUGAAAACCCAGUAUUAUUCGUUGAAUUAAAUGGGGGUGAUGAAUAUUGUUAGGGGCAUCAAUUUGUAUCCCUAAUUUGCAAUGGCAUAGGAGUAAUUCUCUUCACAAGACAGUAAUCCAUGUCUCUUCUGGCUAAUUACAUAUUCUUCAGUCAAGCUCCAGAAUUAAUGUUGGGAGACAGCAAAUUUACUUAAGAUCAAAUCUUGAAGAAAAAAUUACUUAAGACCAGGCCAAGUAUAAUUAAUUUCUUAUGCCUCUGUGGCUCUGUGUGUCCAAUUUUAUACUGAUUAUAUUGACCAAUAAGCUUAAGACACGGACAAGCUGCCAUGCCCAAUUCUUUUAUGUGCAAGCCUAUUACCAGCCAUACAGUACUGAUGUUGCAAAU
RNAcentral lists this long non-coding RNA (425 nucleotides) under Setaria viridis. RNAcentral's name for it is "long non-coding RNA (SVIR_LNC008554)". The record is from RNAcentral. Lineage: Eukaryota; Viridiplantae; Streptophyta; Magnoliopsida; Poales; Poaceae.